AACGAACGCUGGCGGCAGGCCUAACACAUGCGAGUCGAGCGCGCCCUUCGGGGUGAGCGGCGGACGGGUGAGUAACGCGUGGGAACGUGCCCUUUUCUACGGAAUAGCCUCGGGAAACUGAGAGUAAUACAGUAUACGCCCUUUGGGGGAAAGAUUUAUCGGAAAAGGAUCGGCCCGCGUUGGAUUAGGUAGUUGGGGGGGUAAUGGCCUACCAAGCCGACGAUCCAUAGCUGGUUUGAGAGGAUGAUCAGCCACACUGGGACUGAGACACGGCCCAGACGCCUACGGAAGGCAGCAGUGGGGAAUCUUAGACAAUGGGGGCAACCCUGAUCUAGCCAUGCCGCGUGAGUGAUGAAGGGCUUAGUGUUGUAAAGCUCUUUCAGCUGGGAAGAUAAUGACGGUACCAGCAGAAGAAGCCCCGGCUAACUCCGUG
Molecule: ribosomal RNA, 433 nt
Filed under: uncultured bacterium
Lineage: Bacteria
Description: partial 16S ribosomal RNA
Rfam family: Bacterial small subunit ribosomal RNA
Source: RNAcentral